This 1341-nucleotide long non-coding RNA is filed under the name Sus scrofa (pig). RNAcentral's name for it is "lncRNA (ENSSSCG00060024644.1)". Lineage: Eukaryota; Metazoa; Chordata; Mammalia; Artiodactyla; Suidae. The record is from RNAcentral.
UACUUUUUUUCUUCCAUAUACUUUAAAUCACUUCUAGAUUACUUAUAAUAACUAAAACAAUGUAAAUGCCGUGUAAACAGUUGUAAAUAUAAUGUAAGCUUGAUGUAAAUAGUUGCCAGUACAGGGAAAAUUCAUAUUUUGCUUUUUGGAACUUUCUGAAAUUAAAAAAAAAAAAUAUUUUCCAUCUGCAGUUGGCUGAAUCCACAGAUAUAGAACCCAAGGACGUGGUGGGCUGGCUGUAAUUAUCCUCUUUCUCAUCAGAUUUUCACUAAUGAUUUUAGCAUUUGUCAAUGAUUUUUGAUUAAAACAAUUAUUACUACAGUAUCUAUUAAAUAAUUGUUUUGAUAUAGUAAAACAAUCAUUGCUAUAGUAUAGUAAGACAUUCUUUUUUUUGUUAUUCCUUCAUCCAACACUUAUUACCUAGAAAUCUGCUGUAAUGAAGAGUCUUCUCUUCACCCAUUCACUCUAUUUCUUUAUGUAACUGUGAACUCUUGGACUCUUAUUUUAGUCCAUGGGUUACAAUCCGUCACUAUCCUUUUUUGUUGUUGUUACUCCAGUUGCCCCAGAUCUGACCACUGGGAGCCUCUUCAAGUUGGCUACUGUGUCUUUUUAACAUAUUUGAAGUGGUGGUUCCUAUUUGAAACAAGGACAUGCUAAAAAUAUUGACUCAGGUCCUAAAAAGAUAUGAAUCUGGAGACUUCUGGAGGCUCUUUCCUGUCCCUCUUGUAAUAGCUGGCCCCUUGGAUCCCAGAGAGCUCCACGGAGGAGGAGGCCAUCCCAGAGACUGACCUCAGGAGAGACCCCCUUUCUAACAAGGCUGUCUCGUCUACCUCCAGUUCCCAUGGCUUUAUAGGUGUCUAGGUCUCUCCUGGUCCCUUUCAGUGCCUUCCUAACUCUGUAAAGGGGCACAGACACAGGACCCUUCCUUUGGCGCACGUUCCGUGCUGGGUGUGGCUCUGCAUGACCCAGGCUGUCUCCUUGCAGGAUGGCAAGAGGAUGGAGCUCAAAACCCCUGCUGCUUCUUUGCCUAAAACACUGGGAUGCAACUUCCUCGGUUUAAAAAGAGUUGAAAAAGAACACGGCACUUCUGUGGCCACAGACACAGGCAGCAUGGGCCUCCCCUCCCUGGAUUCCUGAUUCCUCAGGUCUACCUCUUUAGGCUUUGCAAGUAAGUAUUUCUUUAAGUUUUUAUUUUUAUUUUUGGCUGCUCCUAUGGCAUGUGAAAGUUCCCAGGCCAGGGAUCAAACCUGUGCCACAGCAGUGUGACCACACCGGAUCCUCAACCCCCUGUGCCACAAGAGAACUCCCAAGUAAGGUUUUAUAUAUUUAGAUGCCCUGCCU